Molecule: ribosomal RNA, 663 nt
Filed under: uncultured bacterium
Lineage: Bacteria
Description: bacterial SSU rRNA
Rfam family: Bacterial small subunit ribosomal RNA
Source: RNAcentral
AUUGAACGCUGGCGGCAUGCCUUACACAUGCAAGUCGAACGGCAGCACGGACUUCGGUCUGGUGGCGAGUGGCGAACGGGUGAGUAAUGCAUCGGAACGUGCCAUUGAGUGGGGGAUAACGUAGCGAAAGUUGCGCUAAUACCGCAUAUUCUGUGAGCAGGAAAGCAGGGGACCGCAAGGCCUUGCGCUCUUUGAGCGGCCGAUGUCAGAUUAGCUAGUUGGUGAGGUAAAGGCUUACCAAGGCGACGAUCUGUAGCGGGUCUGAGAGGAUGAUCCGCCACACUGGAACUGAGACACGGUCCAGACUCCUACGGGAGGCAGCAGUGGGGAAUUUUGGACAAUGGGGGCAACCCUGAUUCAGCCAUGCCGCGUGAGUGAAGAAGGCCUUCGGGUUGUAAAGCUCUUUCGGCCGGGAAGAAAUCGCAUGGGCUAAUACCCUGUGUGGAUGACGGUACCGGAAUAAGAAGCACCGGCUAACUACGUGCCAGCAGCCGCGGUAAUACGUAGGGUGCGAGCGUUAAUCGGAAUUACUGGGCGUAAAGCGUGCGCAGGCGGUUUUGUAAGACAGGCGUGAAAUCCCCGGGCUUAACCUGGGAACUGCGCUUGUGACUGCAAGGCUAGAGUACGGCAGAGGGGGGUGGAAUUCCACGUGUAGCAGUGAAA